UGGAGGGAGUUAUCGUGGAGGUGGAGGGUGGGAUUGUGGAGGUUGGUGUGGAAGGGAAGAACAGCAUCAAAAGCCUUAUAGGCCGGAUUGGAGGAGGAGGAGAAGGGGUUAGGAGGAAGAGGAUGGGGAAAGAGGGAGAGCACUCAUGGGUGCACUUAGAGAAAGAGAAAGAUGAUGAGGAGAAAAGAGAGGAGGAAAAAAGAGGGGCCACCAGCAAGGAAGGAUGGAAGUGGAGGAGAUAGGGAAGGCGA
This 251-nucleotide long non-coding RNA is filed under the name Elaeis guineensis (African oil palm). Its description in RNAcentral is "long non-coding RNA (EGUI_LNC012233)". The record is from RNAcentral. Lineage: Eukaryota; Viridiplantae; Streptophyta; Magnoliopsida; Arecales; Arecaceae.